CACUCUGGGCAUCCCAGUGGCAUUGCUCCAGACUUUCACUGUUGGGACCGAAGCCCCUUCACAGCAACAUCUCCAGUGACUCCAGAGGCAUCCCCGGCCCGUGACUCUCCACACACCCCAAGCACACCCUGCAGCUCCCACUGCAGCUGCACACUGAGCCACCUGCACUGCCUGUGCUCCUCCUGCUAGCCCCAAAUACUUUGUUAAACUCUUCUGGGGCCCACACCUUGAAGAGCUGUCAUGUCUAUGCCAAUUGCUUCUUUUUCUAAUGUGAUAAAAAUUUGCUCAAAAUGGUCACCUGAGAUGCUGAAGCUCAUCCUGAGAGCCACAACCCCUGUAGUGUCCUAGAGACACAGCCACCUGCCUGGGAUGCUUGAGCCAGGAUUUCCCCUUCCCACCCUCUUAAUGGAAUCUGAACCCCUGGGAGUUCGUGAGCACCUUCCAGGAGCCGCCCCAUAACACUGCAUGGGACGUGUCCCUGGUAAAGGUGCAGCUGCAAAGUUCUGCCAGGCACGUCCACAGAAAUUCAAUUUGUGCUCAAUGGGAGGAAUGGGAGACUCCUGGCAGCCUUGUGUCUGCCAGGCACCCUGAGGCACUGGGAGCCAGGGGAUGACUUUGAAAGUGUGACCCUUGCUAGUGCUGGUGAGGCUGAGUGCUGGGCUGGGGGUGCCUGGAGACUGUUGGUGGCUGAGGAACUUUUCUCUUGCUUUCAGUUUGCUGUUCCUUGGCUGUGUUUCUGGUCUCAGUGGGGAUUUGCCAUCGUGAUAAAUGGAUGUGAUUCAUGCUGAAUAAGUUGUACUCAUAGCAAUAAUUUGGGAAAACAAUUGGAAAAGUAUAUGUGAUUAGUGUUACGAAGUAGAUCGGUUUCUUCAAGAAUACAUGUGGAAAGCAGGAUGCAGGAGUUGGAUUCGGCCUUGGAAAUGGAGGAAGUCAGGAACUGACUCCCAAACCAAAAUUGGCAUCAAUUGAAGUUAAAAGACAACUCCCAGAACAGGAUCAACCUUGAAUAUCAAUAAAAUUUGGACCAUUCCGGAUAGGGAACCUAAAAUAGCGGUCUUAUCUAUGAAAUAAUAAGGCUGAAUUGGAAGAAAAUGCAUCAAGCUCAAUGUGCAUGUGCAACCUGCCAGGUCAUUCAGAGGACAGCGAGGAAGACCUUCGGCCUUCCUCCAAGAAGACCCCUGAAGAGACCAGAAGACCCCAAAGCAACAAUGGGAGCAUGCACCAUGCAGCAGAGUGAUGUAGAUUUCAAGAAUCGAAAAUGGGAGGAGAUUUACAGGAACUAUUGAUGAAUAUGUAUUAGCAUACAGUAAAAGUUGUGGUGGGGAGCCCUCCCCGUGCCCCAAUCGGUUUCACUUAUGCUUUAUCCAAACCAUUGCCAAAUUACUUUUUGUAACCAUUUCAUUAUAUUUGAUUGUGUUAUUAUUAUUUUAUACCCCAAUUAAAAUUG
This 1447-nucleotide long non-coding RNA is filed under the name Taeniopygia guttata (zebra finch). RNAcentral describes it as "lncRNA (ENSTGUG00000027220.1)". Lineage: Eukaryota; Metazoa; Chordata; Aves; Passeriformes; Estrildidae. The record is from RNAcentral.